UGGGGAGAAGGCCAGCUUCCUGUGUCCCAUCCUCUGUUGUCCUCCAGCCCUGUCCCUCUGUCCACAUCUGGGGGCAGACCCCUCCAGGCCUGGGACGGCCCCACACCCAGGGCUGUGGAUGUCCACCUGCACGAACUGCCAAGGGCCGGGCCCGGCCACCAGAGGUCCCCGCCAAAGGACAGCCUGGGAGUGGGAAAGCCUUUUGCGCCCCGUCUGUUCACAGAGCAGCUGCCACACGUCGCAGCCCCGAGAGGGAGGAAGCUUCACGGAGAAGGCGUCAUUUCUAACUAAAGAAAAAUGCUGCUUCUCAGCCGGAAACCUGGCCCUCGCUCCGUCUGACAGCGAAAUAGACGGUGGUGGUUUUGGGAGACUCGUGGUGGAAAGUCAGGCAGGAGAGGUGCAGAGCACGUGGGCGUGGUGGACCCACUGCCUCAGUUUCCCUUUGCUCGAGUCAGUGCAGUCUUGAGUUCAUAUCCUGUGAAAGGUGUUGUGUCGG
RNAcentral lists this long non-coding RNA (496 nucleotides) under Cavia porcellus (domestic guinea pig). RNAcentral's name for it is "lncRNA (ENSCPOG00000040773.1)". The record is from RNAcentral. Lineage: Eukaryota; Metazoa; Chordata; Mammalia; Rodentia; Caviidae.